This 70-nucleotide transfer RNA is filed under the name Paramuricea clavata. RNAcentral describes it as "tRNA-Ser". It matches the Rfam family "tRNA". From Rfam's summary of the family: Transfer RNA (tRNA) molecules are approximately 80 nucleotides in length. Their secondary structure includes four short double-helical elements and three loops (D, anti-codon, and T loops). Further hydrogen bonds mediate the characteristic L-shaped molecular structure. tRNAs have two regions of fundamental functional importance: the anti-codon, which is responsible for specific mRNA codon recognition, and the 3' end, to which the tRNAs corresponding amino acid is attached (by aminoacyl-tRNA synthetases). tRNAs cope with the degeneracy of the genetic code in two manners: having more than one tRNA (with a specific anti-codon) for a particular amino acid; and 'wobble' base-pairing, i.e. permitting non-standard base-pairing at the 3rd anti-codon position. The record is from RNAcentral. Lineage: Eukaryota; Metazoa; Cnidaria; Anthozoa; Malacalcyonacea; Plexauridae.
CCUCUGUAGCUCAGUUGGUUAGAGCGCUGCACCGGAAUCGCAGGGCCGUAGGUUCAAUUCCUACCAGAGG